AUGUUUUGUCUUCCUGACCCCAUACAAGUAGCUGGACGGCCCAGCCUUGCGUGUCUCAGAAAAAUCCUCCUUGAACAAAGCCCAGAAAGGAGGACGCGUCUCCCUGCGCUCCCGUUCCGAAUCAGACUACUCGGAGGAGGAAGAGGCCUCCUGAUCUCCCAAACGGUCUCCAUUCCAGAACUGGAGCCAGUGUCGGGCGGCAGCCCUUCCUGGGCGCCACUUUCGUUAGCUGGCUUCCCCGUCCCCGGGAGGCAAACUAAACACCGCACUCCCCUCAGUCAGUCCCUUCCCUACCGAGGAUGUGGGGCUCACCCCCCUAACUGGGGGAGGGCAAACUCGGGGAGACUUUAUGUCGGUUGCUGUACAGGCGAGGCGCUGGGAAGGAAGCCGAGAGGAAGCGAGGCCUCUGCAGCGGGGAACGAGGCGAGCCUGAGCCGAGCUAAAGCAGGGAUGAUGCACCCCGUCCAGAGGAAGCGCCCCACCGGCCAAGUUCUCUUUCGGUCGCCGGAAACUCCUCAGAAAUGGCUCUCUUUCUUUCUCUCCCCGCUCCCUCCCCUCCCCCUAGCCGCAGCUCGCCCUCCCUUUUUUCCUCACCUCAGGCCGCCUCCAUCCCGAAGUGCUCCGAGCAGACAAGCAUCGCUGUUGCGGCCAUUUCCUGCCGUCCCCGCCACGGAGAAAGUUACUGGAGAGCAAGAAGCCAGCCGACCUCCCCCCGCCCUCCUCCUUUUCGUUCUCUCCUUCCUCCGGCGGCAGCGGCGGCGGCUUGCCCGCCUCUUUCGCUCCCGCGCUGGUCGGGGCUGUGGCGACCGCCUGCCUUCACUUCCGGCCCUCGGCGUCCAGAGGCCGGCUGGAGGGAAGGGAAGGGAAGCGGGACGAGGCGGAGCGGAGCGGGAGGAGGAGGAAGAGGAGGCAAUGCUGGUCGUCGGUCGCCUUCCUCUGAGAGGGGCUAGUUGCUCAAGAUGCCCUGCGGGAGAAGGAGGGCUCCACUACAAGGAAGGGAGUCCUGGCUGUGGAGGAGGAGGAGACGAAGGGCUGCUGAGCGACUCCAUGCCGCCCGCUUUGGGCCCCAUCUCCCCCAGCAGCGACUGGAUUCCCCGCGCUUUUAUUUUAUUAUUUAUUUUAUUUAUACCCCGCCCAUCUGGUCUUCCGACCACUCUAGGCGGCUUCCAAUACAUAGAUAAAAACGUACAGAUAUACACAAAAAUUAUAAUAUGA
This 1215-nucleotide long non-coding RNA is filed under the name Pogona vitticeps (central bearded dragon). RNAcentral's name for it is "lncRNA (ENSPVIG00000011624.1)". Lineage: Eukaryota; Metazoa; Chordata; Lepidosauria; Squamata; Agamidae. The record is from RNAcentral.